GGCCCAGUAGCUCAAGGCGAGAGCCUUCCAAGCAAUGGAUCUGUGUUGCGGGUUCAAGUUCUGCCUGGGCCU
Marchantia polymorpha subsp. polymorpha is the source of this 72-nucleotide transfer RNA. It matches the Rfam family "tRNA". From Rfam's summary of the family: Transfer RNA (tRNA) molecules are approximately 80 nucleotides in length. Their secondary structure includes four short double-helical elements and three loops (D, anti-codon, and T loops). NCBI's taxonomy places the organism in Eukaryota, Viridiplantae, Streptophyta, Marchantiopsida, Marchantiales, Marchantiaceae. The record is from Rfam.